GCCAGAUCCUUAACCCACUGAGCAAGGCCAGGGAUCAAACCUGCAUCCUCCUGACACUAUGUCAGGUUCUUAACCUGCUGAGCCACAAUGAGAGCUCCUUGGAUUUUUUUUUUUUUUAAAGAGAAGAUACACAAGGAGUUCCCUGGUUGUCUAGCAGGUUAAGGAUCUCACAUUUUCACUGCUGUGACUCGGAAUGCUGCUGUGGCAUAGGUCCCAUGCCUGGCCCAGGAAGUUCCGCAUGCUGCAGGCGUGGCCAAAAAUCCAACCAAAGAAACAAAAAAGAAGACACAUAAGUACAUUACACUGAUCCUGAGGAUAGAUGUCAGGGCGUGUCUAAACUGUGUCUACACUCAGUAGACUUUGUAAAUAAAGCCCAUAAUUGGUAUGCAUGAGUAGUUACAGCAGUUCUAAUUGCAUGAGACCCAUCUGAGAAGGAUCCAUUCUGUUCUUGGUGGUUGAGAAGAUUAUAAGUGUUGGGUAGAGCUGUGUGUCAUUUAGAAAUGGUUUGCUAGGUUGCAGACAUGCUGCUUUUCUGGUGGGUGGAGAUGGGUAAGAGAAAAAUAGCUGGAUUGGCCCUGGUUCUUGGGAAGAGGAUUUGUGAUUCAGGCUCAAGCUUUGGGUAACCGGGAACAAUGCUCAAGCAAAAGGGAAGGCUGAUCUUGGCUUUGUGGCAGGAAACUGAUGGACCUUCAUUGGUAGGGAUGUUGCCUGUGUAGGUUGCUGUCUUCAGUUACAUCCGUGAUGUGUAUGGUGGAAUCUUUUCAAAGUGAGCAACAACAACAACAAAUUUCUGAAUUUUAUUUUUUGAGAUGGGCUUAGGGUUCUGAUGGCUUAGGGUUCCGGACACCUAGUGAGUGCUCUGGAGUAGCUAUUGAAUGAAAGAACAAAUGUGAUUUUUAAAUGGGCUAAUAAGUCCAUAUAAAUCAAAUAUCCUUUUUUUUUUUUUUUGUCUUUUUAGGGCCAUACCUGCAGCAUAUGGAAGUUCCCAGGCUAAGGGUUGAGUCAGAACUACAGCUGCCAGCCUCUGCCAUAGUCACAGCAAUGUCAGAUCCAAACUGCAUCUGCAACAGACACCGCAGCUCAAGGCAACACUGAAUCCUUAACUCACUGAUCCAGCCUGCAUGUUCAUGGAUACUAGUUCUUUACCACUGACCCACAAGGGGAACUCCCUCAGAUGUCAUUUUUGAAGCAUUUCCGUAAGUCUAACAAAAUUUGGUGUAACAAACUAAGUGAUUUAGAAUAGUAAAGCACCUUAGUAGAAAACUCUUAAAUCACACAUUAUCUUAACCAUCACAUACACAGAUACUUUCAAGAGUGUUUCAUGGAUUGCUAAUGGAGAAGCUGGUUUAUUUUUAGACUGUUUUGGCAUGACUGAUUGGAAUUGGGGAGUAAAUCCAUCCUGGUAACUUAGCGACUAAGUUAUCUACUUCAUGCUUAGUUCUGGCCCAGGUGCUUGUCCUGUGGGAUCUUGUCCCCAAAGAAUGAUGGUGGAAACAAAGUUUCCAGAUUUGGUGCAAGGGCCAAUGGGGAAGCAAAACACCUCUCUGAGUUUGGUGCAAGGGCCAAUGAGGAAGCAAAACACCUCUCUGAGUUUUGAGGUGUACUCAUUUUGAUCUUAAAGGUGGGAGGUAUGGACGUGGGAGUUGAGAGUCAAGGCUGAAUGACCAAGAAGGAGGUGAAAAUUUGAGGUGGGGCUUAAAAGAUGGAAGAGUUUGGAAGGUAGAGGGGAGAAAGGAAGGCAUUGCUUAGAGUAUCUCCCCUAACUUGGAGAUAGUGUUGAGUGUAAGACAGUGACAGGGCGGUGAUUGACCUUGAAGCUGUGGCCAAAGGUGGGACCUGAGGUGGGGUGUGGGACCAGGCAGAGGAUUUGGGAUUUAAUGAAUAAUAGGAGACCGUUGAACAUUUCUGAAAAGGGAAAUGGAAGAAUGAAACUGUGGUUUAAAGAUACGCUUGAUUUGCUGUGUUCAAGAGGACUUCUCAUGACAUGGGUAUAAUUUUCUCUUUCUAUACCCGUAAUGACCCAUAAUGACUUAGGAAAGCUUUCUGAGUGUUAGAUUUUUGUCUCGAUUUUUAGACCUCUCUAAGUCAGAGUGCAAAUAAGCAGUGUGGUCCCCAUUCUACAGGAGGGGGCAGAGAGAGGACACGCAAGAGUUUUUCAGCCCCGUUCUGACCACGUUGGAAUUAAUCCAGGCCUAGGAAGCCAACUUUUCCAGUUACUACUGAACUUGCCAAUGUGAAAUGAAUUGUAAAUACGUGGGGAAGCAAAACACCUCUCUGAGUUUUGAGGUGUACUCAUUUUGAUCUUAAAGAUGACAACAUACUAAAAAUUGAUUUCCCUCCUCCAGUUUUCAAUGGAUUUUUUUUUAACAGCAUUAUUGAGAGAUAAUUCACAUGCCCUAUAGUUCGUCCAUCUAAAAAGUGCACAAUUCAGGGGUUUUUAGUAUAUUCGGAGUUGUGCAGCCCUCACCACACUCUAAUUUUAGAACUUUUUUAUCAGGCCCCUGGAAAAAGUACCCUGUAUGCACUAGCAGCCACUCCCCAGCCCCCUUCCCCCCUACUCAAUUCUAGGCAAGCACUAAUCAAAUUUCGGUCUUAUAGUCCAAUUGCUAUUUUUUAACCUAGUAUUUUACAGAGUGUUAUCACUAUUUUUGGCCUUGGAAGCCCUAAGUUCAAACCCCAGCUGACUAAUACCAUAACCUUGAGAAAGCAUUUUGACUUUAUGUAAGUCUGUUUCCAUACUUUGAAAACAUGAAUAGUCAGAGCUACUUUACAUCUUUUUGCGAUGAUCAAAGGAUGUUUAUAUACAAGUGUUAAGUGAUGUAUGAGUUUAUUAUUGCGGAGGAGGUGUGUAACUGAAUUAUUAAAGAGUCUCAAAUAUUGAUCCUUUGAAAUAUUUGGUGGAAUAUAGUAGGGCACAUAACAAAUACUUGGAUAUGAAAGGACAGAUUUUAUGUUUUUAAGGUUAUAGCUUUAUGGUCUAUGUGACUUGAGGGUUUGGUUUUUAGGAUGGAAGAAGUGUUUCUGGAUUUCCCUGUAGAGCCUAGUAUAAUGGUACUUAGGCUGUUUUUGGAUCACAAACUACUUGGAGAAUUUGAUGAAAGCUAUACAGCUAGACUUGAUUUUGCUUUUUAAACAAUCAAGAGGCUGAUGGAUCCCUUAAAACCUUCCAUAUACGCCCUACAUACUAGAUUAAGGGUCCUUAGUCUUUUUACAAAGAGAGAGAAAAUAGCCCUUCAAAGCUGGAGUGAACCGUCCCACACAUCAGGAGAAGACAGCCAUCCACUCGAAGUGUAUUCAUUUACCCUCCCAUUUUUCAUUUCCACGUUGUACAAGUGUGCCCAGUAUGUGUUUGGCCAAGGCAGGUGGAUUUUCUUCUAGGUAUAGAAAUAGACAUACGUGGCACCUAGAGAAGAAAUGAAGAGUAGUUGCCCUGAAAGAGAGCCGGUGAGAGGAAGGAAAAACAACUGAGCAUCUGUCACUUUGCAAGCAGUGCCCCCUGGGGCUGGGCCUGCACAUUUUAGAACCUUUGUAUAAACAAGUGUUGGAGUCCCAAAGGACCCUGGGGGAGUGGGAAUUCCCAGCAGCCUUACCAUACAAGGUAAGAGGGAUGGCCUUGAUGGAGUUUAUUCUCCAGAUAGCUGCUACUCACGGGCCACUCGAUACCACUCCACUGUUGUUUAUUUCAUCCUGGUUCAGUGGCCCCACGGUGCCAUAUCCCUCAGUAGAGUUAACAAAGAAGUGCAUGCUGGAUUGAAAAGAAAAAGCGAAUUUCUUCCUUCUCAAAUCCUGCUUCUCAAAUCCUUAGUUGGAAGGAACUUAUUAUUCUUAUUCCUAUUAUUAUCUUAUUAUUAUUAUGCUACUAUUCUUCUUAUUGUGGGAAGAUAUUUGGGUACCAGCAGUCAGAGGAUCCAACUAAGAACAAAGCCCAGAGGGUUGGGACGGGAGAAAAGAUGAGGUGGCAGCAAAAUUAACACGCAUAAACUCAAUGGCCAGGUGGCCCCUGUGUCCAGUAAGAUCACUUGCUGCACAGCCUUUGGAUUAUAAUCCUUUCUCAGACAUGUCUUCGGUAGAUCUUGUCUCCUUCUCAUUUUCUUGGCAGAGAUCCAUGAGGAUGCAGGUUCGAUCCCUGGCCUCGCUCAUUGCCGUGAGCUGUGGUGUAGGUUGCAGACUCAGCUCAGAUCUCACGUUGCUGCGGCAGUGGCUUGGACCAGCAGUGGUAGCUACGAUUUGACCCCUAUCCUGGGACCCUCCGUAUGCCACGGGUGUGGCCCU
RNAcentral lists this long non-coding RNA (4272 nucleotides) under Sus scrofa (pig). RNAcentral's name for it is "lncRNA (ENSSSCG00060072777.1)". Lineage: Eukaryota; Metazoa; Chordata; Mammalia; Artiodactyla; Suidae. The record is from RNAcentral.